CCUACGGGAGGCAGCAGUGAGGAAUAUUGGACAAUGGGCGCAAGCCUGAUCCAGCCAUGCCGCGUGCAGGAUGACGGUCCUAUGGAUUGUAAACUGCUUUUAUACGAGAAGAAACACUGCUUCGUGAAGCAGCUUGACGGUAUCGUAAGAAUAAGGAUCGGCUAACUCCGUGCCAGCAGCCGCGGUAAUACGGAGGAUCCAAGCGUUAUCCGGAAUCAUUGGGUUUAAAGGGUCCGUAGGCGGUUUAAUAAGUCAGUGGUGAAAGCCCAUCGCUCAACGGUGGAACGGCCAUUGAUACUGUUAGACUUGAAUUAUUAGGAAGUAACUAGAAUAUGUAGUGUAGCGGUGAAAUGCUUAGAGAUUACAUGGAAUACCAAUUGCGAAGGCAGGUUACUACUAAUGGAUUGACGCUGAUGGACGAAAGCGUGGGUAGCGAACAGGAUUAGAUACCCUGGUAGUCCACGCCGUAAACGAUGGAUACUAGCUGUUGGGUGCAAACUCAGUGGCUAAGCGAAAGUGAUAAGUAUCCCACCUGGGGAGUACGUUCGCAAGAAUGAAACUCAAAGGAAUUGAGG
RNAcentral lists this ribosomal RNA (575 nucleotides) under uncultured bacterium. RNAcentral's name for it is "bacterial SSU rRNA". It matches the Rfam family "Bacterial small subunit ribosomal RNA", at positions 338 to 915 of the family's 1533-position model. The record is from RNAcentral.